GCCGACUUAGCUCAGCGGUAGAGCAUCCGCUUCACACGCGGGAGGUCACAAGUUCAAAUCUUGUAGUCGGCACCA
This 75-nucleotide transfer RNA is filed under the name Acidobacteriota bacterium. Its description in RNAcentral is "Acidobacteria bacterium (activated sludge metagenome) tRNA-Val". It matches the Rfam family "tRNA". Rfam says of the family: Transfer RNA (tRNA) molecules are approximately 80 nucleotides in length. RNAcentral also lists the same sequence under 1 other name. The record is from RNAcentral. Lineage: Bacteria; Pseudomonadati; Acidobacteriota.